UUUACCUACGGGAGGCAGCAGUAGGGAAUCUUCCACAAUGGGCGAAAGCCUUAUGGAGCAACGCCGCGUGGGUGAAGAAGGUCUUCUGAUCGUAAAACCCUGUUGUUAGAGAAGAAAGUGCGUGAGAGUAACUGUUCACGGUUCGACGGUAUCUAACCAGAAAGCCACGGCGAACUACGUGCCAGCAGCCGCGGUAUUACGGAGGUGGCAAGCGUUAUCCGGAUUUAUUG
RNAcentral lists this ribosomal RNA (230 nucleotides) under uncultured bacterium. Its description in RNAcentral is "partial 16S ribosomal RNA". It matches the Rfam family "Bacterial small subunit ribosomal RNA", at positions 334 to 556 of the family's 1533-position model. The record is from RNAcentral.